This 854-nucleotide long non-coding RNA is filed under the name Homo sapiens (human). Its description in RNAcentral is "long non-coding RNA NONHSAT209895.1". Lineage: Eukaryota; Metazoa; Chordata; Mammalia; Primates; Hominidae. The record is from RNAcentral.
AUCUCCUGACCUCGUGAUCCGCCCGCCUCUGCCUCCCAAAGUGCUGGGAUUACAGGCGUGAGCCACCGCGCCCGGUGGAAAGGACACUUUUUUACAGUAUGAGCACUGAAACAAAAAGGCAAAGCAAGGUCUGUUCACCUUCAGCUGAGAACGUGAGGAUUUUGUCAUAUAAGCAAAUUAUGUGGCACAGAAGUUUGGUGUAUGGAUUAUUUCAUCACCCAGGCCGUUUCUCAGCGUUGGAUGUGCAAGCAGUUUUGAGAGAUGAAGUCAUGACUUCAAGACAAAAAAACAGGUUUGCUUAUUUUGCUACAGAAACACAUAAAACAGUGGUCUUCUCCUCUGAUGUGAUUUUACUAAGUAUUCCUUCACUCUUCAGUUUAGAAAGAGCUGAAUUACUCAAAGAAAUAAACAACAAAACAUUCUGUACUUCAUCAGGUCCAGGAGCUCAAAUGUUGGAAAGGAGCCAGAAUUGUUAUUGCCCCCUGUGAAUCAAGCAGGAUGUACACAGUCAAAAGAAGCUGCUCACUAGAAGUUUAUCUAUAUUAAAUAACUUAUGAAAAAAAUUGGCUUCUUCAAAUCUUUUCCCUAUAAAUCUGGUCAGAAAAGCUGACUUUUGAGAAGAUAAAAUUUGAAGUAAGAAGAUAUGGAAUAAUUUUUCAUUAUUCAUUUCAAACUUUCAAAUGUAAUUGUCUUUCAAGUUUCUUACACUUAACCUGAGGCACUUUUUCUGCAUUUUUGUAAUUGAUUAUGAGACUCGCUACUUGUAUCUUCCUUUCUGAUUUGUUUAUUCUAGGAUACUUUUACAAGAAAAAUUAAUCUUCAGUGUUUAAAAAUAAAAUAUCUCAACAUUUGCA